AUUGAACGCUGGCGGCAGGCUUAACACAUGCAAGUCGAGCGAGCGGCGGACGGGUGAGUAAUGUCUGGGAAACUGCCUGAUGGAGGGGGAUAACUACUGGAAAAGGUAGCUAAUACCGCAUACCAUCAGAUGUGCCCAGAUGGGAUUAGCUAGUAGGUGGGGUAAUGGCUCACCUAGGCGACGAUCCCUAGCUGGUCUGAGAGGAUGAACAGCCACACUGGAACUGAGACACGGUCCAGACUCCUAAGGGAGGCAGCAGUGGGGAAUAUUGCACAAUGGGCGCAAGCCUGACUCGGCCAUGCCGCGUGUGGGAAGAAGGCCUUCGGGUUGUAAAGCUCUUUCAGCGGGGAGGCGUUACUCGCAGAAGAAGCACCGGCUAACUCCGUGCCAGCAGCCGCGGUAAUUC
This 406-nucleotide ribosomal RNA is filed under the name uncultured bacterium. RNAcentral's name for it is "partial 16S ribosomal RNA". It matches the Rfam family "Bacterial small subunit ribosomal RNA", at positions 30 to 526 of the family's 1533-position model. The record is from RNAcentral.